Molecule: transfer RNA, 68 nt
Filed under: marine eukaryotic metagenome
Rfam family: tRNA
About the family: Transfer RNA (tRNA) molecules are approximately 80 nucleotides in length. Their secondary structure includes four short double-helical elements and three loops (D, anti-codon, and T loops). Further hydrogen bonds mediate the characteristic L-shaped molecular structure. tRNAs have two regions of fundamental functional importance: the anti-codon, which is responsible for specific mRNA codon recognition, and the 3' end, to which the tRNAs corresponding amino acid is attached (by aminoacyl-tRNA synthetases). tRNAs cope with the degeneracy of the genetic code in two manners: having more than one tRNA (with a specific anti-codon) for a particular amino acid; and 'wobble' base-pairing, i.e. permitting non-standard base-pairing at the 3rd anti-codon position.
Source: RNAcentral
CAGGUGUGGUUUAGUGGUAAAACGUCGCCUUGCCAAGGCGGAGUCGGGGGUUCAAUUCCCCUCACCUG